This is a non-coding RNA of Stereum hirsutum FP-91666 SS1, 112 nucleotides long. Lineage: Eukaryota; Fungi; Basidiomycota; Agaricomycetes; Russulales; Stereaceae. The record is from the annotation of a RefSeq genome assembly.
CCUCCGAUAGCUCAACGGAUAGAGCGCUGGGUAGAUAUGUAUGUGUCUCGCGCAAUCAGAGUUAGUGAUAGUGUAUUGCCCAGAGAUGCUGGUUCGAGUCCAGCUCGGAGGU